AAUGAACGCUGGCGGCAGGCCUAAAACAUGCAAGUCGAACGCUCUAGCAAUAGAGAGUGGCGCACGGGUGAGUAACACGUGGGAAUAUGCCUUUUGGUACGGAACAACGUCUGGAAACGGACGCUAAUACCGUAUGGUCCCUCCGGGGUAAAGAUUUAUCGCCAAAAGAUUAGCCCGCGUCUGAUUAGCUAGUUGGUGAGGUAAUGGCUCACCAAGGCGACGAUCAGUAGCUGGUCUGAGAGGACGAUCAGCCACACUGGGACUGAGACACGGCCCAGACUCCUACGGGAGGCAGCAGUUAGGAAUAUUGGACAAUGGGCGCAAGCCUGAUCCAGCCAUGCCGCGUGAGUGAUGAAGGCCUUCGGGUUGUAAAGCUCUUUAGUCCACGAAUAUAAUGACUGUAGUGGAAGAAUAAGCCCCGGCUAACUUCGUG
Molecule: ribosomal RNA, 433 nt
Filed under: uncultured organism
Description: bacterial SSU rRNA
Rfam family: Bacterial small subunit ribosomal RNA
Source: RNAcentral